RNAcentral lists this long non-coding RNA (2082 nucleotides) under Setaria viridis. RNAcentral's name for it is "long non-coding RNA (SVIR_LNC008453)". Lineage: Eukaryota; Viridiplantae; Streptophyta; Magnoliopsida; Poales; Poaceae. The record is from RNAcentral.
UAAAGAAUAUAAAUUUUUUAGACUAAAUAAUGCUGAGAGUAGAGCAAAAUGAAGAACCAAUUGAAGCCUAGUAAUAUCAUGGCAGUCUAAGUGCAGAGCCAAGAUCCUGACAGUCCAAAAGAAAAGGAAAGGCUUUGUUGGAGCAGCUUAAGUAAUCAGGAUGAGUUUAGAAAUUUAAACACCAUAAAAUUCAGUUCUUUUCAAAUCAAAACCAAAUAGAUCUACCAAAUGUAUGUAUAUUUCUUGACAGACACAAGAAUAAUGCUGCCUAGAAACACAGCCAAACAAUCAACUCCUGACUAACAGAACAAUUGUCCUGAAAAAUGCAAUCUUUACUGGUAAUACAUUGAAAUAUGACCCAAGUCCUACAUGCAACAAGGACUACCUAACCAACCCACCCAUCCCCGCAUGCAAUUGGAGCAACCAAGAUCAAUCUGAGACAACCAAAUCACUAUUAUCUCAGUAUCUUACCAAUAACUUGUGCUUAGCUCAUCCCACAUGGUACUGAAACCACGACCUGCCCAACAUGACAUUUCUGGCCCAAUACAGUUCACAGUUUGGACCUAAGGAGAGUAAAAGUUCUGGAUGGAUUUUAAACCCAACAAAAUAAUUUUUGUCAAGGUUGGCCCCGAACAGAAAAACAACCAAUUCGACCUAGCUUGUCAAACCAAUUUUCCCUUCAAUUCUCAUUUUGACUCAGUAACUAGCAAUCAAUUCUUGAAACCAAGAGAGGUUUAAAGCUCUACACCGUGCUUUGUUACCAGCAACUUGAAAGAUCAAACAGGAAGAUGACUAAGUAUCCUACCGCAGGAAAACCAACAUAAACGGACAUAUACUGGAAGGAACACUAUAUGCUUUUUCCUAUACUUCUUAGGGGUUCCUGACAUAGCUCUGCUUUAUACAUCAAAUACUAGGAGUCACAUAUCGAUAAUUUUUUUAAUGCAAAACUGGGUGCAAGUGUCUUGUUUUGCGGAAAACUUGUGAGGAUAUAAAACAAACCUGCAUAAAAAAGUUAACCAGCUAGACAAUCAUGAUAUCAUGCAUACAAAAAGCAAAGGAACCUCUGGUCAUAAAACCAAAGUAAAAGGAUGAAAAGGGAUCAUCUAAUGCUUAAGCUUGUUCAACUUCGACCAACAAAGAAAAGAAAAAAAGAGAAUACCACAGGCAGAGCAGUAAAAUGUAAAUAGAACUGGUAAGUAUAUGUUGUUUCUAACUUCCUAGACCUCAAAAUUCAGGCUAAUGAUUAUGGAUAAAAAGUGAGUUUCUUUAUAUCUCUCAGAACUGAUCAUUACAAUAUGGCAGAACGUGUUUCAUACUAGUGGAAUCACUGAUACCCUAAAGGGAUGUCAUUGCCAUAAAGUCAUGAAUGAAGUACCAAAUCUCCCCUGAACAUUUCAUAAGGAUUGACGUGACAUACCAAUUACCAUCACGCACAGUUCAACACAAUAUUCACAUGUAUACACUAGGACUACAAGGUUAUCUCUUCCGUAUCAAUUUACGAAAGAACCUAGUAAAAUUCUAAGAACCUAUUACGUGGCACAUAAACAGUUACAAAAGCAUAAGUAUUAACAUGAGAAGUUAAGCCAGAAAAUUAUUAUCCACAUAAACAAAAACGAGGAACUUGUGGGAUACACCUUCCAGUCUUCCAUCAAAAACCCAAAUGCCAGAAGCCAUAAUAUGGAACAAAUAUGUUGUUUUUCCCACAACAAUUCGAAAUCCUAAACAGACUACUUAUAGCCUAUUUAGAGCAUCUCCAGCAGUCUCCCAAUAAAUGUUUCCCAAUAAAUAGUCAAUAGGGAUAUCCCAAAAUCCAUUUCACUGUUAUUGGGAGAGUUACUUUUGCAGUCUCCCAAUAAUCUCAUCCCAAUCCAACUACCGUAUUGGGAGAGUUAGAGCAUCUCCAGCAGUCUCCCUUUCCCCAAUACAACUACCAUAUUGGGAGAGUUGAUAAGAAAAUAGCGCUCCACCAGUCUCCCUUUACCUUUACCUUUUCCCAAUAAUUAUUGGGACAACCCAAUAAUUCACCUCAACUCUCCCUAAAUAAAGGAGCUGUGACUCUCCCAAUACGGUAGUUGGAUUGGG